UGAACGCUAGCGGGAUGCCUUACACAUGCAAGUCGAACGGCAGCACGGACUUCGGUCUGGUGGCGAGUGGCGAACGGGUGAGUAAUGUAUCGGAACGUGCCCAGUAGCGGGGGAUAACUACGCGAAAGCGUAGCUAAUACCGCAUACGCCCUACGGGGGAAAGCAGGGGAUCGCAAGACCUUGCACUAUUGGAGCGGCCGAUAUCGGAUUAGCUAGUUGGUGGGGUAACGGCUCACCAAGGCGACGAUCCGUAGCUGGUUUGAGAGGACGACCAGCCACACUGGGACUGAGACACGGCCCAGACUCCUACGGGAGGCAGCAGUGGGGAAUUUUGGACAAUGGGGGAAACCCUGAUCCAGCCAUCCCGCGUGUGCGAUGAAGGCCUUCGGGUUGUAAAGCACUUUUGGCAGGAAAGAAACGUCGUGGGUUAAUACCCCGCGAAA
RNAcentral lists this ribosomal RNA (443 nucleotides) under Achromobacter dolens. RNAcentral's name for it is "bacterial SSU rRNA". It matches the Rfam family "Bacterial small subunit ribosomal RNA", at positions 30 to 469 of the family's 1533-position model. The record is from RNAcentral. Lineage: Bacteria; Pseudomonadati; Pseudomonadota; Betaproteobacteria; Burkholderiales; Alcaligenaceae.